CUCUCUUCUUUUGUGGGCACAUACCACCUUAGGCUGCCAGGUUACAGACUUUAGUGUCAUGAAUUGUAGCCACAUCACUGCAGAGUUUCCAGCAAUGGUUGCCAUGGCACCAGGUGGCCUAAUCAUCAGUGUUUCAACAGUAUAGAGGCAGCAACACCUACUCAAAAAACUAGAGGACUAUUGGUGGACAUAGCAGGUUUCCUGGAUUUCUGUCAAUAGAAGAUUACCAAAUUAGGCCCAGAUCCCUUGGCAGAGGGAACAUUGCUGGAGUUCCUGGAGAAAUUCCAGGAAGGAAAGCAUGAGAGAGAGAAGAACCAUAUUAUUUGUGAUAAACGGAAUGAGACUCAGUGACAUUUAAUGUGACUAUUAAAAAUAAUGAGUUGCUGUUCUAUGCCCUGAGCUGAAGUUUUCACUGGCUUACCCAUAGCCCCUGGUGGACCCAGAGUUCACAUACAGGCAAUGCCUGUGCAUAGCAAAGCUUCAGUCAUCUCUCUCUGGAAAGAGCUGGAGAACGUUCAGACCAUGCACAGGGCAGCCCAGAGGGCCAAGAGCUCACACUCAGGAAUUGCACUCACUGACUGCCAGUACUUAAGAGUCAUUACCUUAUUCUUCUGCAGUGCUUACAAGGUGGAAGAGGAAUAAACAAUAAGCACAAACGGGACGUCUAAUAGUGGAUGGAGCCCAAGAUCUUGGAGAAGCGAGUGUUUCUGACGGGUUCAAGUUUCAUGCACUCAGCAUGCCUUCAUCAGUUCCUAUUUUGUGCAGAUACCCACCCUCUGCCAUGUACCAUACAUGCCUCAGGGGACACUGAGCUCUGUUUAGCUGUAGUAAGCCAAGGGUGACCACAUCUUGCUCGUGAUUUGCUGGGAAUCUUCCUAUCUUCUUGGUGAGUGUCCAGUAGUAUUCCUCCAUCUCUUCCCCCAGACACCGGGUGGGCAGUGUGGAACAGCCAUGGCCACCUCCUCACCAGAGGACAUGGGGUCGGUGAGAACCAAAAGAAUAACCGAGAAUAGAGCUAGAAUCACUGCGUUAAGUUCACCCUCAAACCUCCUCUCUCUCUGGACUUCAAGUUAUGUGAGCCAAUAAGUUUGCUUAUGCCAAUUUGAUUGGGGCUCUCUGUCAUUGGCAGUUGAAGUCAUCCUGAUGGAUACAGCACUCUAUAAAAGGUUCCCUCCCUGGGCACCCUCAACAACCUUCUCAGAAUCUGUCUCCAGGAUCUGUUUGCCUGUGUCACCUCUCCUUUUCUGAAGAAUGUUUGCAUUGGAUCUGGGUUCUAGUCUCUGCUUAGCCCCUGUGGACUGGCUCACCUUGCCCUUUGCUUUGCGUUGCUCCUUAAGGCCUCACUCAGCCAUGACUUGCAGGGAGUCCAGUCAAUGUCAGAACCCUGGACAUCCUGCUUGCCUGGAAGAGGCCCCAGGUUUCCUGGAGUUCCCAUAUGUCCCAGUCUCCCAGGACCACUCCCGAAGGGCAGCUCUGCCAAGCCAGUGUCCUCCAGGUGCCCCCAGCUCCGUAGCUGGAACCAAAAAGUGCAUGUAAGGAAGUUUAGGAGUUGUGUGACGCUCUCAGCUUAAGCCUCUACAGCCUUAUACUGAGGCCUGUGUUGUUUUUUUUCUAAAAUGAUGCCCUUAGACUACCAGAAUCAGAAUCAUCAGUAUCAUGACCAGCAAGUUUUCCAGACUUACUGAAUAAUAUUCCUGGAAUUGAGUUAUGAAAACCCUAUUUUUCACAGCCUAAACCCUGGUUAUUUCACAUUCUGGCUAACCCCAAAGACAGCUCAGCUUCCAGCCUCAGCAUGUGAUGAAACAGAGGCCAAGGCAAAGAGGGAGGGACUGGGAAGGAGACAGGAUUAUGAAGGCGAAGGGAGAAGUGUGAUAGAAAGUUGUUAGACUUUUCCGGGUGCGCAGUAGAGGAGCUGUGCCUAGAGGCAGACUUAAAUUACAACGGCCAUUUGUUUUCCAGUUUCUACAACUUUCACCUUUGUGCAUCCGCUACCAGCCUUUGUCUUCUGGCAUGAUUUGCACCCAGACUUAUCCAGCAUUGCGAUGUAACCCUCCUCAAAUCAUAGAGUCGAUGACAAAGAACGAGGUGAAAAAUAAAACAUUUAAGAUCCAAAGGUCAGAGCAGAGUUUUCUAAGAUGGCAGUCUACAUGUCACAAAAACUUUGCAUAAGAGUAAUUUCACAAAUGUGAAAUACGUUUUCUCAAUGCCACACCACACCUCACUCCCCAAGUUCAUGCCAGUUCAUAAUGCUCGUUUCACGCUUUGCACGGCUUUAUAAGUUCUUUCUCGGUAAGAAAGAGAAACCGCCCCACCUCCUUCCCUUUUCUUAUGAAAUAUAUUUUACACAGUGACUGACAUGACUGUGAAUGCAGAUUGUAUGGAAAAUAAUGCCUGUAAUUUCUGACUGCUACCUUCACUCAGAGCUGGAUAUAGGGAGCGUUUAGACAUAGCUGGAAAAAAUGUGUUCGGUACUACUUUUUCUUUUUCAGAAAAUGGUUGAUGGGUGGGAAUUCAAAGUUUAUUCUAGAAUGCAGAUCUAUUCAAAAUGGACCUUUGACAGACCAUUCCCUCAGACCCUCUUCAUAUUCACCGCUAAUCCCCUUUUCUCUUUUAUAACAACAAUCAUACAUAUUCUCCUCAUUUCCUGCCCCUACUACCUCAAUUCUUUUUAGACGUUUUGAUGCCAAAGUAUUCUUCAUUUUCUUGCUCACUAGGAACAAAUUAAAUCAGUCUGAGGACUGGGAUACUUGGCCAUUCUAGGUUCCUAUGCAAUGGAUUGAAAAAAAAUCCAUGUAAUGAACUCUGAUUGGAUUUAUUUUUGGAUUCUAGUUUUUAAAUUACACUGGAGACACCACGAGUCAACUUAUUAUGCCUAGGGCUUUAUGUUAGAACUUGAAGGUCAGGGGUUGGAGGCUGUGUCUUCUGGUCACCAACAUCACUCCCAACAUUUAUUCUCUAG
This is a long non-coding RNA of Equus caballus (horse), 2959 nucleotides long. The record is from Ensembl. NCBI's taxonomy places the organism in Eukaryota, Metazoa, Chordata, Mammalia, Perissodactyla, Equidae.